RNAcentral lists this unclassified non-coding RNA (348 nucleotides) under soil metagenome. Its description in RNAcentral is "partial contains 5.8S ribosomal RNA, internal transcribed spacer 2, and large subunit ribosomal RNA". The stretch from base 1 to 120 matches the Rfam family "5.8S ribosomal RNA", at positions 35 to 154 of the family's 154-position model. The record is from RNAcentral.
GAUGAAGAACGCAGCGAAAUGCGAUAAGUAGUGUGAAUUGCAGAAUUCAGUGAAUCAUCGAAUCUUUGAACGCACAUUGCGCCCUCUGGUAUUCCGGAGGGCAUGCCUGUUCGAGCGUCAUUAAAACUACUCAAGCUAAGGUUUUACCUUCUGCUUGGUCUUGGGUUUGAGGAUUCAAAAUCCUCUCUCCGAAAUCCAGUGGCGAAUUGUUUGAGCUGUAGACGUAGUAAAUCAUUCUACCCGUUGCAAGCGAGAAUAAUAUUCAGCCAUACCCCCCAUACUUUUCUAGUUUGACCUCGGAUCAGGUAGGGAUACCCGCUGAACUUAAGCAUAUCAAUAAGCGGAGGA